UACAGAGGUCUCAAGCGUUGUUCGGAUUCAUUGGGCGUAAAGGGUGCGUAGGUGGCGCCGUAAGUCGGGUGUGAAAUUUCGGAGCUUAACUCCGAAACUGCAUUCGAUACUGCGGUGCUUGAGGACUGGAGAGGAGACUGGAAUUCAUGGCGUAGCAGUGAAAUGCGUAGAGAUCGUAAGGAAGACCAGUGGCGAAGGCGGGUCUCUGGACAGUUCCUGACACUGAGGCACGAAGGCCAGGGGAGCAAACGGG
This 253-nucleotide ribosomal RNA is filed under the name uncultured bacterium. RNAcentral describes it as "partial 16S ribosomal RNA". It matches the Rfam family "Bacterial small subunit ribosomal RNA", at positions 524 to 776 of the family's 1533-position model. The record is from RNAcentral.